This is a long non-coding RNA of Diabrotica virgifera virgifera (western corn rootworm), 389 nucleotides long. RefSeq lists it as uncharacterized. The record is from RefSeq and is a predicted model, not a curated record. Lineage: Eukaryota; Metazoa; Arthropoda; Insecta; Coleoptera; Chrysomelidae. The transcript has 2 exons.
UUUCGAAGUUGCAUAUUAGCACUAUAUUCAUUUAAUGAUGUUGCCUAAGGUUAAAAUGAAGUAUGCUUAAACACUACUAAAUUUUUGGAAGUGUGAAUCUGGUUUUUUCUUGGUUCAUUCUUGACUUUGGAAAAAAGGCAAGCCAGCUUUUUUCCACUUGUUUUUUAUAUGUGACUGUUACCACAUGGUCUUGUCUUUGGCUGUACUAAAGUUUUUAAAUAUUAACUAUACACUUAAAUGUUACAUACUUAUACAUUACAUUGGUUCAUGGAUAAGGUUUUUUUUACUAUGUACAUCUUAUCUUUUGCUACAUGUCUUUUUAAGAUGAACUGAUGAUGUCUACUGAGCAGUAGACGAAACGUCUUCAAUAAAUAGAUGAAGUAGCUGAA